UGUGCACGAAUCACUACAUGCUGACCAGGUUCGAGGUGACAUUCCUUGGGACCCCGGUGGAUCCUGAGCACGGAGAUGAGGAGAAGCAAUGGGCACACACGCGAGGAAGGGAGAAGCUGGAGCAGGCAUGAGGAUAGAGAAGCAAAAGGAGAGGAGCUGCAGUUGGUGAGGUGAUCGAGCGAGUGCUACAUCAUUUGAAGAGCCCGGUAAGCUGUUUCAUGACCCCUACUAAAAUCAUCAUCCAUCGAUACAUGCUAAAAUAAUUUGAUAUGGGUAGCUUGAGCCAUUUCUUAAAUGUUGCCACACUAAAUCUCACCUUUGGCAUAUUGAGCUUGAUGUGAAUAUGUGAACUGAUUGUUGAAUGCCAUGUAAACUAGUGAUCUACAUAUUGCUUGCUUUGCUGAAAUUAGUGAAAGCUAUUAGUUUUGAGUGCUCAAAUCCCUAGUACACUAGAAAACUUAAUCAUUUUCUGCUUUUACCUCGAUACACCUAGAUCAUUAAGUGUCAGAUGCUGAGUUUGUGCCUAAUGUGUUCCCAUUCAAAGCAAUCACUUAUCACUAUGGAUUAGCAUGCUAUGUUCUCUGGAUCGGUAGCAUGUGAACUAGACAUGGAUGAGUGAUGAUUCUUGUUUUUGUUCAUUUGAAAAAUGAAAAAAAUUAAAUAUAUCUUAUAAUGAAUAAUAAGUCUGACUACCUACAGUAGCAUGUCAUGUUCCCUGGAUCGGUGGCAUGUGAAAUCUGGUAGCUUGGACAGUAAUUAUAAUUAAAAAAACUGUAAUUGUCGAACCAGGUGUAUACCAUGUUCUCGGGAUCGGUGGUAUGUUCCUUUGGGGAGACAAACAAAAAAAAACUAAUAAUUGGUCGAGCCAGGUGUAUACCAUGUUCUCGGGAUCGGUGGUAUGUUCCUUUGGUGAGAUCGAUAAAAUAUUAUCAUUACUUCCUUCAAAUUCAAUAAGUGCUUCAACCAUAAUGUUAUGUUCCGGGUAAUAAGUUUUUUUUGGGAUCAUGCUCUCUUUAGGAACCCUUUGGCGCAAUCAACAUUUGAACUUGUUGAUCCACUUUUAUCUUUGUAAAAGUUUAAAAUGAUUGAGUUUACUAGUGUUCUAUUGCUCUGUAGCACUCUUAACCAUUGAUUUUCACUAGCUAAGUCCAAAGCAUGCAUUGUUUAGAGAUCUACUUCACUUGGACAUUCUCUAGUCAGCUCACUAUUCACUAUCCUGCUCUUGUCAUAUUCCUUUCCUCGAGGACAAGCAAAGAUUUAAGUGUGGGGGAACUUGAUAAGCACAUUUCAUAUACAUCUUUUGGCACCCAAAUAUGCGGUUUAUUGAGAUAUGUCCAUCAAUUCUUGCUGUGAAAUAUUGAAUAUUUGCAUGAAAAUCAUAUAAAGGAUCAUUUACUAGUCUUUGGUCUAUUUUGCAGAAAUGUGUGCAAAGGCACUAUAAAUCUUCAAGAUCCGGACUAAGUGGCUAAGAGAACGAAGAAGAGGAGAAGAAUGGACCCGACCGUGAAGAAAAGAAGUAACCAGAGGGGCCAAGCUAAAGUUGGAGGGAUCAUCUUGUG
This 1559-nucleotide long non-coding RNA is filed under the name Triticum aestivum (bread wheat). RNAcentral describes it as "long non-coding RNA (TAES_LNC017702)". The record is from RNAcentral. Lineage: Eukaryota; Viridiplantae; Streptophyta; Magnoliopsida; Poales; Poaceae.